Molecule: ribosomal RNA, 240 nt
Filed under: uncultured bacterium
Lineage: Bacteria
Description: partial 16S ribosomal RNA
Rfam family: Bacterial small subunit ribosomal RNA
Source: RNAcentral
GAUCAUGGCUCAGGACGAACGCUGGCGGCGUGCCUAACACAUGCAAGUCGAGCGAAUGAAGUUCCUUCGGGAAUGGAUUUAGCGGCGGACGGGUGAGUAACACGUGGGCAACCUGCCGUCAUAGAGGGGAAUAGCCCUUCCGAAAGGGUAGAUUAAGUACCGCAUAAGAUUGUAGUACCGCAUGAUACAGCAAUUAAGGAGCAAUCCGCUAUGAGAUGGGCCCGCGGUCGCAUUAGCUAG